RNAcentral lists this ribosomal RNA (676 nucleotides) under Vibrio sp. RNAcentral describes it as "bacterial SSU rRNA". It matches the Rfam family "Bacterial small subunit ribosomal RNA", at positions 40 to 698 of the family's 1533-position model. Lineage: Bacteria; Pseudomonadati; Pseudomonadota; Gammaproteobacteria; Vibrionales; Vibrionaceae. The record is from RNAcentral.
CUGCGCNGCUACCAUGCAGUCGAGCGGAACGACACUAACAAUCCUUCGGGUGCGUUAAUGGGCGUCGAGCGGCGGACGGGUGAGUAAUGCCUAGGAAAUUGCCUUGAUGUGGGGGAUAACCAUUGGAAACGAUGGCUAAUACCGCAUAAUGCCUACGGGCCAAAGAGGGGGACCUUCGGNCCUCUCGCGUCAAGAUAUGCCUAGGUGGGAUUAGCUAGUUGGUGAGGUAAUGGCUCACCAAGGCGACGAUCCCUAGCUGGUCUGAGAGGAUGAUCAGCCACACUGGAACUGAGACACGGUCCAGACUCCUACGGGAGGCAGCAGUGGGGAAUAUUGCACAAUGGGCGAAAGCCUGAUGCAGCCAUGCCGCGUGUAUGAAGAAGGCCUUCGGGUUGUAAAGUACUUUCAGUUGUGAGGAAGGGUGUGUAGUUAAUAGCUGCGCAUCUUGACGUUAGCAACAGAAGAAGCACCGGCUAACUCCGUGCCAGCAGCCGCGGUAAUACGGAGGGUGCGAGCGUUAAUCGGAAUUACUGGGCGUAAAGCGCAUGCAGGUGGUUCAUUAAGUCAGAUGUGAAAGCCCGGGGCUCAACCUCGGAACUGCAUUUGAAACUGGUGAACUANAGUGCUGUANAGGGGGGUAGAANUUCCANGUGUANCGGUGAAAUGCGUAGAGAUC